AAGGUGACAUUGCUAAAACUAGCCUGCCUUUUGUACAAUGACAUUUCCCCUUUUUUUCAGGUACUUAAAACAUUGCUAUUAAGCACUGAGAGGUGAAGAUACCAGACAAGAAAAUAGCAGACAAUACUGAAGUGCUUCAGGAGGAUUUGAUCUGCAGGAAAUCUUGUGUGGCUACAAUCUCCUACAAUAAAAGCUUUUAUUCACAACAGGGCAUCAGCUGUCAUCAGGAGCCCAGAGCAGAAGAGAUCUUUCCAAGGUCGUUACAGACUGUGGGGGAAUUGCAGCUAAAGCCAUUGAGCUUAAUGGGAAUUAGUCAUGCGUCCUUGAUUGUUCAGAUGUUGGAAGAGGGACCUGAAUAA
Molecule: long non-coding RNA, 359 nt
Filed under: Chrysemys picta bellii (western painted turtle)
Lineage: Eukaryota; Metazoa; Chordata; Testudines; Emydidae
Description: lncRNA (ENSCPBG00000008193.1)
Source: RNAcentral